AAUAGAUACCCCGGUAGUCCACGCCGUAAACGAUGAAUACUAGGUGUAGGGGUUGUCAUGACCUCGUGUGCCGCCGCAAACGCAUUAAGUAUUCCACCUGGGGAGUACGGUCGCAAGAUUAAAACUCAAAGGAAUUGACGGGGGCCCGCACAAGCAGCGGAGCAUGUGGUUUAAUUCGAAGCAACGCGAAGAACCUUACCUAGACUUGACAUCUCCUGAAUUACUCUUAAUCGAGGAAGUCCCUUCGGGGACAGGAAGACAGGUGGUGCAUGGUUGUCGUCAGCUCGUGUCGUGAGAUGUUGGGUUAAGUCCCGCAACGAGCGCAACCCUUAUUAUUAGUUGCUACCAUUAAGUUGAGCACUCUAGCAAGACUGCCCGGGUUAACCGGGGAGGAAGGUGGGGAUGACGUCAAAUCAUCAUGCCCCUUAUGUCUAGGGCUACACACGUGCUACAAUGGACAAGUAACGAAAAAGAUGCAAUACCGCGAAGGUGGAGCUAAAACUUAAAAACUUGUCUCAGUUCGGUAUUGUAGGCUGAAACUCGCCUACA
RNAcentral lists this ribosomal RNA (549 nucleotides) under uncultured bacterium. Its description in RNAcentral is "bacterial SSU rRNA". It matches the Rfam family "Bacterial small subunit ribosomal RNA", at positions 777 to 1320 of the family's 1533-position model. The record is from RNAcentral.